AAUAAACAUAAUCAUAAAUUUCCGCGUACAACUUUAAUCGUUCAUCUUAUUUGAAAAUUUUUACGAUUAAUAUUUUUAUUGAUAUUAGAUUAUUUUAUAUGUGACUUAUGUUUUUAGUUUUUUCAAAAAUAAAUAAAUAAGACGGACAAUUAAAGUUGGGCACAGAAACUCAUUACUGUGCUUAUU
Non-coding RNA from Oryza nivara, 186 nucleotides. The record is from Rfam. NCBI's taxonomy places the organism in Eukaryota, Viridiplantae, Streptophyta, Magnoliopsida, Poales, Poaceae.